RNAcentral lists this transfer RNA (64 nucleotides) under Villa sp. Its description in RNAcentral is "tRNA-Phe". The record is from RNAcentral. Lineage: Eukaryota; Metazoa; Arthropoda; Insecta; Diptera; Bombyliidae.
AUUCAAAUAGCUUAUAUAGAGUAUGGCUUUGAAGAAGCUAGGGAGAUAAUAAUAUCUUUGAAUA